UAGUGUGGCCUGAUUUGUCAGAUCUCAAGACGCUAAGCAGGGCUGGGCCUGGUUAGUACUUGGAUGGGAGACCACUGAGAAUUCUAGGUGCCACAGAGG
RNAcentral lists this ribosomal RNA (99 nucleotides) under Periophthalmus magnuspinnatus. The record is from RNAcentral. Lineage: Eukaryota; Metazoa; Chordata; Actinopteri; Gobiiformes; Gobiidae.